This 589-nucleotide long non-coding RNA is filed under the name Helianthus annuus (common sunflower). RNAcentral's name for it is "hypothetical non coding rna". The record is from RNAcentral. Lineage: Eukaryota; Viridiplantae; Streptophyta; Magnoliopsida; Asterales; Asteraceae.
UAAAGUAAACCUGCAACUUUUCAUACAGGACAGGAGUGCUGAAGGUUUACCAGAUGCAAAGGGAUUGACUGACGGUGUUUGCUCAGUUGUUAAACGAUCCUCUCAGCGACGAACGGUGCCGGAAAUACGAUCUGACUGUGGUUCCGGCUUCAAUCGGCGACUGAUGCAGCUGGUGGUUGGAGGACGGUUCAACGGGUGGGGUGGUGAUUGACGGUGGGCGGCGAGGAGAGGAUGCCUUGGCUGCAGACGUCAAACUGAUGCUGCCGAAAAGGGCGAGUAAGUCGGUUUUGGAUGUGGAUGCGAAGUGAGGUAAACGUUACCCGUGAAAACGGCAGGAGUACAGAGAAAACUAGCGCUGCAAACGAAUCAAACGUUUGGUGAAUAGUUCGUAAACUGUUCGGCGGGAAGUUUGUUUGUGUUCAUUCAUUUAUUAAAAAAACGAACACGAACAAGAAAUUUUGUUCGUUUAGUUAAAUGAACAAACAUGAACAGACGUCAUGAUCGUUCAUCUAUGUUCGUGAACGUUCGGUAAGGUGUCCGUUUAUGUUUUUGGUUUUUAUAUAUAUUUAAAUACUUCAAAAUUCCAACA